CGUGAGCAAUCUGCCUUGGAGUGGGGAAUAACGGUUGGAAACAGCCGCUAAUACCGCAUGACGCGUCUGGGAGGCAUCUCUCUGGACGCCAAAGAUUUAUCGCUCUGAGAUGAGCUCGCGUCUGAUUAGCUAGUUGGCGGGGCAACGGCCCACCAAGGCGACGAUCAGUAGCCGGACUGAGAGGUUGGCCGGCCACAUUGGGACUGAGACACGGCCCAGACUCCUACGGAAGGCAGCAG
Molecule: ribosomal RNA, 239 nt
Filed under: uncultured bacterium
Lineage: Bacteria
Description: partial 16S ribosomal RNA
Rfam family: Bacterial small subunit ribosomal RNA
Source: RNAcentral